This 494-nucleotide ribosomal RNA is filed under the name uncultured bacterium. RNAcentral's name for it is "partial 16S ribosomal RNA". It matches the Rfam family "Bacterial small subunit ribosomal RNA", at positions 28 to 507 of the family's 1533-position model. The record is from RNAcentral.
GAUGAACGCUGGCGGCGCGCUUAACACAUGCAAGUCGAACGGAAAGGCCUGCUUUCCCUUGUGGAUUGCGGGUACUCGAGUGGCGAACGGGUGAGUAACACGUGAGUGAUCUGCCCCCAACUUGGGUAUAAGCCUGGGAAACUGGGUCUAAUUCCCGAUAGGACUGCAGGGUGGUGCCUGUGGUGGAAAACGAUUUUCUAGUGGUUGGGGAUGAGCUCGCGGCCUAUCAGCUUGUUGGUGGGGUAAUGGCCUACCAAGGCGGCGACGGGUAGCCGGCCUGAGAGGGUGGACGGCCACAUUGGGACUGAGAUACGGCCCAGACUCCUACGGGAGGCAGCAGUGGGGAAUAUUGCACAAUGGGCGGAAGCCUGAUGCAGCGACGCCGCGUGGGGGAUGACGGCCUUCGGGUUGUAAACUCCUUUCGACCGCGAGGAAGCCACCUGGUUGGAAGGGUGGUGACGGUAGUGGUAGAAGAAGCACCGGCUAACUACGUG